AGACCCGAAACCCGGUGAUCUAGCCAUGGGCAGGUUGAAGGUUGGGUAACACUAACUGGAGGACCGAACCGACUAAUGUUGAAAAAUUAGCGGAUGACCUGUGGCUGGGGGUGAAAGGCCAAUCAAACCGGGAGAUAGCUGGUUCUCCCCGAAAGCUAUUUAGGUAGCGCCUCGUGAAUUCAUCUCCGGGGGUAGAGCACUGUUUCGGCUAGGGGGCCAUCCCGGCUUACCAACCCGAUGCAAACUGCGAAUACCGGAGAAUGUUAUCACGGGAGACACACGGCGGGUGCUAACGUCCGUCGUGAAGAGGGAAACAACCCAGACCGCCAGCUAAGGUCCCAAAGUCAUGGUUAAGUGGGAAACGAUGUGGGAAGGCCCAGACAGCCAGGAUGUUGGCUUAGAAGCAGCCAUCAUUUAAAGAAAGCGUAAUAGCUCACUGGUCGAGUCGGCCUGCGCGGAAGAUGUAACGGGGCUAAACCAUGCACCGAAGCUGCGGCAGCGAACGUAUCACCCAAGACAACUUUACGGAGUUGACGAUUGACGGAGCGAAGCGACGUCAAAGCGUUCAUUAAAGUCGAGUUGGCUUAGGGAUACGUUCGUUGGGUAGGGGAGCGUUCUGUAAGCCUGUGAAGGUGUGUCGUGAGGCAUGCUGGAGGUAUCAGAAGUGCGAAUGCUGACAUAAGUAACGAUAAAGCGGGUGAAAAGCCCGCUCGCCGGAAGACCAAGGGUUCCUGUCCAACGUUAAUCGGGGCAGGGUGAGUCGACCCCUAAGGCGAGGCCGAAAGGCGUAGUCGAUGGGAAACGGGUUAAUAUUCCCGUACUUGGUGUUACUGCGAAGGGGGGACGGAGAAGGCUAUGUUGGCCGGGCGACGGUUGUCCCGGUUUAAGCGUGUAGGUGUGUGUUCCAGGUAAAUCCGGUUCACUUUAACACUGAGGCGUGAUGACGAGGCACUACGGUGCUGAAGCAACAAAUGCCCUGC
This 980-nucleotide ribosomal RNA is filed under the name Salmonella enterica subsp. enterica serovar Typhimurium. RNAcentral's name for it is "partial 23S ribosomal RNA". It matches the Rfam family "Bacterial large subunit ribosomal RNA", at positions 711 to 1605 of the family's 2925-position model. Lineage: Bacteria; Pseudomonadati; Pseudomonadota; Gammaproteobacteria; Enterobacterales; Enterobacteriaceae. The record is from RNAcentral.